CUGUCACAAAAUGAAGUUAAAGCAAAAUUUAUAAAAAAUUAAAAGAUUAGGAACCACUUCUACAAUUUUUUCUAAUUUCGAUGACUCGCAAAUUAUUGUCCUAAUAACAAGUUGGUUCUCAAUCAAUUUAAAAACAGAAAGGUAAUUUGAUUCUCAAUCAUCCACUUUCAUAGAAUUUUAUUAAAUUAUCAAGUGACCCUCGAAAAAACUUAUUAUUCGAUUUCAUGGUACCAAACCAGGUGAAGAGCAAAAUUUACCUUCGUAAAAAUGGGCAUAUGAUAUUUUAUGGAAAAAAUUGUAGUAGUGGUUUCUAACUUUUUCAAAUUUUGUAGAUUUUAUCAUAACCUUCAAUUUGUACCAACAGAGAUUCCAAACCUUUCAUAAAUAUGCAGAUGGGUCCAAACAGAUGAAAACUAUCCAUUUGACUGUUAGUUGACCAAAUUAGGUAAGGGUAAAAUGAUAACUUAAUUAAUUCCAUAUUAUAAUAAACCAAACAAAAUUAGGAAAAAAAUUUCUCCAUCUUCCAUCCCCACCCAACUCAAUCCAAUCAAAACUGCCUCUCUUCUUCUUCUUCUCCAACAAGCCUACCAAAAACAACCACCGCUGCCACCUUCGACCCACACUGCCACUACUACUCCCAUCACUACUUCCAACUACUAGUUUCGACAGCCUCCACCUCCAUCUUCCAGCCCACUCUACAUUUGCCACUACACAUUUAAAAAUAAACCAAGAAAACUCACCCACACGAUGCCACACCUAAAUCGAUACCACCAUCUCAAACGCCAGCAGUCUCGACAACCAAAACCCACAGUGAAAAGUGAAAUGGUUGUUAAAUCCUUUUCAAUUUCAAAUCCUCUCAAAAUCCAGCAAAAACCCAUCAUCCACCAUUGCUUUCAAAAUCGAAAAACCCCAAAUGGAACCAAAAAUCUAACAAUUGGAUCUCCACCAAUCGUCGCAUCACUAGUGAUUGUCAAAUCACCACACAUUCACAACCAAAUCUCAUAAAAUGAAAAUCAAAACUAUUACAAAGCUUCAAAAAAUUAAUGGGGAAAAAAUCUAAUUUAGGUCGAUGGCGGUUUUUACCAACCCUGAAAUUGUUUUUUGGUUAGGGAUGGUUCGAAAUAGAGUGUGGUGUGGGGUUGGAGGGUGGUGACCGUGGUCGUGGACGAUGCGACGGUGUAUUGGUUGUUGUCGACGGUCAAUCAUGUAUGGAUAUCAAUGUCGUUGGUUAGAGAAAACGAAGAUGGUUGGAGAUGAU
This 1258-nucleotide long non-coding RNA is filed under the name Olea europaea subsp. europaea. The record is from RNAcentral. Lineage: Eukaryota; Viridiplantae; Streptophyta; Magnoliopsida; Lamiales; Oleaceae.